AGGCAUAUUUUAGAACAACUGAAAGAACAGGCUAGUUGACCCAUCGCCAAACGAUCUGAGAUCUGCAGGUUUAACCAGUGCCCUACACAAUGGGCAUGUCCGUUCUCUCUCAAACCUGGAAAGAUGACAAUAAAUCUUACUUAGCUGCAAACAUAGAUUU
Telopea speciosissima is the source of this 160-nucleotide long non-coding RNA. RefSeq lists it as uncharacterized. The record is from RefSeq and is a predicted model, not a curated record. Lineage: Eukaryota; Viridiplantae; Streptophyta; Magnoliopsida; Proteales; Proteaceae. The transcript has 4 exons.